Non-coding RNA from Nomascus leucogenys (northern white-cheeked gibbon), 148 nucleotides. It matches the Rfam family "Metazoan signal recognition particle RNA". Rfam says of the family: The signal recognition particle (SRP) is a universally conserved ribonucleoprotein. NCBI's taxonomy places the organism in Eukaryota, Metazoa, Chordata, Mammalia, Primates, Hylobatidae. The record is from Rfam.
GCCAGGUGUGGUGGUGCACGUCUGUAAUCCCAGCUGCUCAGGAGGCUGAGGUGAGAGGAUUGCUUGAGCCCGGGAGGUUGAGGCUGCAGUGAGCCAUGUUUAUGCCACUGCACUCCAGCCUGGGCAACAGAGCAAGACCCUGUCUCAA